RNAcentral lists this ribosomal RNA (305 nucleotides) under uncultured bacterium. RNAcentral's name for it is "partial 16S ribosomal RNA". It matches the Rfam family "Bacterial small subunit ribosomal RNA", at positions 508 to 807 of the family's 1533-position model. The record is from RNAcentral.
ACAGCAGUCGCCGCGGUAAUACAGAGGGUGCGAGCGUUAAUCGGAUUUACUGGGCGUAAAGCGUGCGUAGGCGGCUUCUUAAGUCGGAUGUGAAAUCCCUGAGCUUAACUUAGGAAUUGCAUUCGAUACUGGGAAGCUAGAGUAUGGGAGAGGAUGGUAGAAUUCCAGGUGUAGCGGUGAAAUGCGUAGAGAUCUGGAGGAAUACCGAUGGCGAAGUCAGCCAUCUGGCCUAAUACUGACGCUGAGGUACGAAAGCAUGGGGAGCAAACAGGAUUAGAUACCCGAGUAGUCCCUGUCUCUUAUAC